GCCGGUGUAGCUCAGCUGGCUAGAGCAGCUGAUUUGUAAUCAGCAGGUCGUGGGUUCGAGUCCCUCCACUGGCUCAA
This 77-nucleotide transfer RNA is filed under the name Flavobacterium terrigena. RNAcentral describes it as "tRNA_Thr_TGT". It matches the Rfam family "tRNA". Rfam says of the family: Transfer RNA (tRNA) molecules are approximately 80 nucleotides in length. Their secondary structure includes four short double-helical elements and three loops (D, anti-codon, and T loops). Further hydrogen bonds mediate the characteristic L-shaped molecular structure. tRNAs have two regions of fundamental functional importance: the anti-codon, which is responsible for specific mRNA codon recognition, and the 3' end, to which the tRNAs corresponding amino acid is attached (by aminoacyl-tRNA synthetases). tRNAs cope with the degeneracy of the genetic code in two manners: having more than one tRNA (with a specific anti-codon) for a particular amino acid; and 'wobble' base-pairing, i.e. permitting non-standard base-pairing at the 3rd anti-codon position. Lineage: Bacteria; Pseudomonadati; Bacteroidota; Flavobacteriia; Flavobacteriales; Flavobacteriaceae. RNAcentral also lists the same sequence under 2 other names. The record is from RNAcentral.